GAUGAACGCUAGCGGCAGGCUUAAUACAUGCAAGUCGUGGGGCAGCAGGUUUGUAGCAAUACAGAUGCUGGCGACCGGCAAACGGGUGCGGAACACGUACAGAACCUUCCUUUGAGCGGGGAAUAGCCCAGAGAAAUUUGGAUUAAUACCCCAUAGUAUAAUGAAGUGGCAUCACUUUAUUAUUAAAGAUUUAUCACUCGAAGAUGGCUGUGCGGCUGAUUAGGUAGUUGGCGGGGUAAAGGCCCACCAAGCCUGCGAUCAGUAACUGGUGUGAGAGCACGACCAGUCACACGGGCACUGAGACACGGGCCCGACUCCUACGGGAGGCAGCAGUAAGGAAUAUUGGUCAAUGGAGGCAACUCUGAACCAGCCAUGCCGCGUGGAGGAUGAAGGUCCUCUGGAUUGUAAACUUCUUUUAUAUGGGACGAAAAAAGGGUUUUCUAACUCGUCUGACGGUACCAUAUGAAUAAGCACCGGCUAACUCCGUGCCAGCAG
RNAcentral lists this ribosomal RNA (495 nucleotides) under uncultured bacterium. RNAcentral's name for it is "bacterial SSU rRNA". It matches the Rfam family "Bacterial small subunit ribosomal RNA", at positions 28 to 514 of the family's 1533-position model. The record is from RNAcentral.